GGAGGAGUGGCAGAGUGGUUGAAUGCGGCGGUCUCGAAAACCGUUUCCCGAUGACCUCGGGACGGGGGUUCGCCCCCGACCUUUA
RNAcentral lists this transfer RNA (85 nucleotides) under Fidelibacterota bacterium. RNAcentral describes it as "Candidatus Marinimicrobia bacterium tRNA-Ser". It matches the Rfam family "tRNA". Rfam says of the family: Transfer RNA (tRNA) molecules are approximately 80 nucleotides in length. Their secondary structure includes four short double-helical elements and three loops (D, anti-codon, and T loops). The record is from RNAcentral. Lineage: Bacteria; Pseudomonadati; Fidelibacterota.